GCCAGUGGGAAUCGGAGAAUUCCCUUGUUAUGUCUUUUGACUUGUUAAUUUGAAGCAGCCUCAGAUAGCCCAUGGGUAUUUGCUGUUGAAUAGUGCAACAGCUAUUUGGAAUGCAGUUUCCCAAACCUAUUCUCAGAUGGGCAAUGAUUGAUGCAUAAAUUUAUAAGCUUUGAAAUAGGGUCCAUAGUACGAAACAAGGUGAGAUUAACAUUGCUUAGUACUUCACUGAAUUUAGUGGUUUAUGGCAAGAAUUGAACUAUUAUCAGGAUUUUCAUGCCACGUGUACUAUUGAUUCUGUUAAGUUCCAAAAACAUAUUAAAAAAGAGCAAAUUUAUGACUUUCUUAUUGGGUUAAUCAUAGAGUAUGAUUAGAUUCAGGUCCAA
Molecule: unclassified non-coding RNA, 383 nt
Filed under: Hevea brasiliensis (rubber tree)
Lineage: Eukaryota; Viridiplantae; Streptophyta; Magnoliopsida; Malpighiales; Euphorbiaceae
Source: RNAcentral